This 2021-nucleotide long non-coding RNA is filed under the name Homo sapiens (human). Its description in RNAcentral is "non-protein coding lnc-NTSR2-5:16". The record is from RNAcentral. Lineage: Eukaryota; Metazoa; Chordata; Mammalia; Primates; Hominidae.
AGUCCUGGAAAUGAUCUUGAUGCUAUCUGUUCCUCGUUACAGCAGACCUGCUCAACUUCAGCAGCUAGAAGGAGGAUUGUCUUUCACCAGCUGCAGGAGCCUGUUCCCACUACAAGCCUGGUGGAGUCUUCGGAGCAGAUGUGACUGUCCUACUUGUAUAGAGAAGAGAAACUGAGGCUCAGAAGAGAUGCCUGGCUGAGUUUAAUAGGACUGCAACAACAAUUUUGCCUUUCUACUUUCUGCUCACCGAAGAAGACAGGAAAACUUGUCAGAUGGGGAAGGAUGUGUCAAGAGCAUGCACACAGAUUUACUCUUCAGCUAGAAGCUCCAAUUCCUAGAUGAUCUGAAUCCAACUCAGAGUGCUUGCACCUGUUUCCUGCCACACAGCUAGAGCUGGAAAUUGCAGCAAUUCAGUGAAAUCUUCAGGCUCCACUUCAAAUUCUAGUUUUCUUGCUAUUUAUACAUCUGCAGUGACUUCCUCCAGUGAAAACUUGAACACCUCAAAGUCAUCCAUGAGGUUUGAAAUAAACUUCUUCCGAACUCCUGUUAAUAUUGAUAUUUUGACCCCCGUCAUCCCCGUUAAUCACAAAUGUUCCUAAUGGCUUCUAGAAUGGUGAAUCCUUUCCAGAAGGUUUUCAAUUUACUUUUCCCAUAUUCUUUACAGAAAACACUAUCUAUUGGAGCUAAAGCACUAUGAAUAUAUUUCCUAAAUAAUAAGACUUGAAAGUUGAAAUGUCUUGUUAAUCUAUGGGCUACAGAAUGGAUGUUGUGUUAACAGGCAUGAAAACAAUAUUCGUCUCCUUAUCCAUCUCCAUCAGAGUUCUUGGGUGACUGGGUGCUUUGUAAAUGAGCAGGAAUAUUUUUGAAAUUUUUUUAGUAAUAGGUCUCAACAGUGGUCUUAAAAUAUUGAGCAAAUCAUGUUGUAAACAAAUGUGCUGUCAUCCAGACUUUGUUGUUCUAUUUAUAGAGCACAGGCAGAAGAGAGUUAGCAUAAUUCUUAAGGGCAGUAGAAAUUUUUGUAUGGUAAAUGAGCACUGCCUUCAACUUAAAGUCAUCAGCUACAUUAGCUACUAACAAGAGAGUCAGCCUGUCCUUUGGGACUCUGAAGCCAGGCACUGACAUUUCCUCUCUAGCUAUGAAAGUCCUAGAUGGCAUAUUUAUACAACAGAAGGCUGUUUCGUCUACACCGACAAUCUGUUGUUUAGUGUAGCCACCUUCAUCAAUGAUCUUAGCUAGAUCUUCUGGAUAACUUGCUGCAGCUUCUACAUUAGCACUUGCUACUUCACCUUGCACUCUUAUGUUAUGAAGAUGAUUUCUUUCCUUAAACAUCAUGAACCAACUUCUGCUAGCUUCUAACUUGUCUUCUGCAGCUGCUUCACCUCUCUCAGCCUUCAUGGAAUUGAAAAUAACUAAGGUCUUGCUGUGGAUUAGGCUUUGACUUAAGGGAAUGUUGUGGCUGCUUUGAUAUUCCAUCCAGACCACUAAAAUGUUUGUCCUAUCAGCAAUAAGGCAACAGCCUUUUUGGCUUUCUUUUCAUUUGUGUAGGUAACACUUUUAUUUUCCUUCAAAAACUUUUCCUAUGCAUUCACAACUUGGCUAAUGGUUUGGCACAAGAGGCCUAGCUUUUGACUUAUUUCAGCAUUUAACAUGCCUACCUCACCAAGCUUAAUCAUUUCUAGCUUUUGAUUUAAAGUGAGAGAUUUUUGGCUCUUCCUUUCACUUAAACAUUUAAAGGCCAUUGCAGGCUUAUUAAUUGGCCUAAUAUCAAUAUUGUUGUGUCUCAGGGAAUAGGGAGGCCAGAGGAGAGGGAGAGAGAUGGGAAACAGCUGGUCAAUGGAGCAGUCAGAACACAUACAAUGUUUAUUAAUUAUAUUUGAUAUUUUAUAUGGACAUGCUUCCUGGUGCCCAAAAACAAUUAUAAUAGUAAUAUCAAAGAUCAUUUAUUACAGAUCACAGGAGAUAUUAAUAAUAAUAAAAUCUGAAAUAUUGAGGGAAUUAUCCAAAUGUACAAAGAGGACAUA